CCUACGGGAGGCAGCAGUGGGGCAUAUUGCACAAUGGGGGAAACCCUGAUGCAGCGACGCCGCGUGAGUGAAGAAGUAAUUCGUUAUGUAAAGCUCUAUCAGCAGGGAAGCAAAUGACGGUACCUGAGUAAGACGCACCGGCUAACUACGUGCCAGCAACAGCGGUAAUACGUAGGGGGCAAGCGUUAUCCGGAUUUACUGGGUGUAAAGGGAGCGUAGACGGCAGUGCAAGUCUGGAGUGAAAGGCGGGGGGUCAACCCCCGGACUGCUCUGGAAACUGUACGGCUGGAGUGCAGAAGAGGUAAGUGGAAUUCUUAGUGUAGCGGUGAAAUGUGUAGAUAUUAGGAGGAACACCAGUGGCGAAGGCGGCUUACUGGACUGUAACUGACGUUGAGGCUCGAAAGCGUGGGGAGCAAACAGGAUUAGAUACCCCAGUAGUC
RNAcentral lists this ribosomal RNA (440 nucleotides) under uncultured bacterium. RNAcentral's name for it is "partial 16S ribosomal RNA". It matches the Rfam family "Bacterial small subunit ribosomal RNA", at positions 338 to 795 of the family's 1533-position model. The record is from RNAcentral.